GCGGGAGUGGCGAAAUAGGUAGACGCUCCAGAUUUAGGUUCUGGUACCAAUAGGUAUACGAGUUCAAAUCUCGUCUCCCGUA
Molecule: transfer RNA, 82 nt
Filed under: Candidatus Blochmanniella vafra str. BVAF
Lineage: Bacteria; Pseudomonadati; Pseudomonadota; Gammaproteobacteria; Enterobacterales; Enterobacteriaceae
Description: tRNA-Leu (TAG) (tRNA-Leu-TAG-1-1)
Rfam family: tRNA
About the family: Transfer RNA (tRNA) molecules are approximately 80 nucleotides in length. Their secondary structure includes four short double-helical elements and three loops (D, anti-codon, and T loops).
Source: RNAcentral